GAUGAACGCUGGCGGCGUGCCUAAUACAUGCAAGUCGAGCGAACGGACGAGAAUCUUGCUUCUCUGAUGUUAGCGGCGGACGGGUGAGUAACACGUGGAUAACCUACCUAUAAGACUGGGAUAACUUCGGGAAACCGGAGCUAAUACCGGAUAAUAUUUUGAACCGCAUGGUUCAAGAGUGAAAGACGGUCUUGCUGUCACUUAUAGAUGGAUCCGCGCUGCAUUAGCUAGUUGGUAAGGUAACGGCUUACCAAGGCAACGAUGCAUAGCCGACCUGAGAGGGUGAAGGGCCACACUGGAACUGAGACACGGUACAGACUCCUACGGGAGGCCGCAGUAGGGAAUCUUCCGCAAAGGGCGGAAGCCUGACGGAGCAAUGCCGCGUGAGUGCUGAAGGUCUUUGGAUCGUAAAACUCUGUUAUUAGGGAAGAACAUAUGUGUAAGUAACUGUGCACAUCUUGACGGUACCUAAUCAGAAAGCCACGGCUAACUACGUG
This 497-nucleotide ribosomal RNA is filed under the name uncultured bacterium. RNAcentral describes it as "partial 16S ribosomal RNA". It matches the Rfam family "Bacterial small subunit ribosomal RNA", at positions 28 to 507 of the family's 1533-position model. The record is from RNAcentral.